This 409-nucleotide ribosomal RNA is filed under the name uncultured marine bacterium. RNAcentral's name for it is "bacterial SSU rRNA". It matches the Rfam family "Bacterial small subunit ribosomal RNA", at positions 94 to 535 of the family's 1533-position model. The record is from RNAcentral.
AGUGGCAGACGGGUGAGUAACAUGUACCGUAUCUGCCCUUUGGCCUGGAAUAACACGAGGAAACUCGUGCUAAUACCGGAUAAGUCUUUACGGAGAAAGCUUUAUGCACCAUUGGAUGAGCCUGCACUUGAUUAGUUUGUUGGUGGGGUAAUGGCCUACCAAGACUGUGAUCAAUAGCUGAUUUGAGAGGAUGAUCAGCCACAUUGGGACUGAGACACGGCCCAAACUCCUACGGGAGGCAGCAGUGGGGAAUCUUGCACAAUGGAGGAAACUCUGAUGCAGCGAUGCCGCGUGAGUGAAGAAGGCCUUUGGGUUGUAAAGCUCUUUCGUCGGGGAAGAAAAUGACUGUACCCGAAUAAGAAGGUCCGGCUAACUUCGUGCCAGCAGCCGCGGUAAUACGAAGGGACCU